Molecule: long non-coding RNA, 797 nt
Organism: Hirundo rustica (Barn swallow)
Lineage: Eukaryota; Metazoa; Chordata; Aves; Passeriformes; Hirundinidae
Exons: 2
Source: RefSeq, a predicted model, not a curated record
GACAACGCAGUCCUGCCCAAAGUUCCCUUUCCCACAGCCCUGUUUCCCAGGGCCAGGUGAAAGCCGUAACUCUGAACAUUCAGCAAUUGAAGUCUUGUAGGCUUGGGCAUUCCAGCACAUAAUUAACUCUCUGGUGCUUUCCCCUGGCUGAAGUAACUCCUCCCUUGCACUUGCUCAGCUGGCUUUUUCCGAACACAGAACUCCUGGAGGCGGGGACUGGGUUUUUUUCAGUGGCUGUUAGAUGUAGAUGGCACAACGCACAGGUGGUGGCCAGACCAAAAUCCCACACACAGUCUCUCCUGCCCCAUCCGUGGAGCAACAGGCUACAAAGCAGAUGAGGAAAAACACCCGCCCACAUUUGAACCCCUCUGCCUCCUGUGCUCCCGAGCCAGCUUUAGCAAUUUCAGAAGGAAUUGCCAUGCUAACACCACAUGACUAUCACCCUUAUGAAAGCCUUAUCCUGAAGUGACAAAACAAAUUAAUUGCUGCUCCUACGUGUAUGUUCAGACUUGGAACAUUAAUUAACAUGCACAUUUUUUGGUACAACUUCUGCCCUUUCAUGCCAGCAAUGGCUAAAUUAAUGACUGUCCAUGUGACAAGAGGUGGAGAGCUGAGGCAUUGGAGUCAAAUGAUCAUUAACACACACAGGGACUCGGACAGAGAACAGUUCACCCCUUCGUCCUUGCUACAGUGCAACCAAAGCAGAACUUCAUUCUCCUUCCUUUCCUGCUUCACAUGGAGCUUUGAUUUCUCUGUCUGUUCAUAGAUCUCCUAAGUAAAGGCAUCACGCUGGACUA